CCAACUCUCUCACUCCCAUCUGAGAGGUCCAUACGAGAGACAUGAAAAAAAAUAUUGUGAUGAUAAAAUUAAAAGAGAUAAAAAAAAUAGAAGAUAUAAAAGGACAAAUUAAUAAUUAUAAUGAGAAAAGGAAAGUAAUGCAGCACUAUCACUAUAAGAAGUUGUACCAAAGAUAAAUUUCAGGACAUUAGCUAUAUUUAUUAUCCAACAACUUUCAAAUAAAACAUAACAUGUAUCAAGAAGAAAGAUGCUAGAUCACAGUUCAGAGGAAACCACCAUCAAGAUAAACAAAGCCAUCUACAAAAAUAAACAAUUUUUUUUCAAAAAACACCAAAACAGCUUCCCUACAAAAAUAAUUUAAAAAUAACUCAAAC
Molecule: long non-coding RNA, 374 nt
Filed under: Lathyrus oleraceus (garden pea)
Lineage: Eukaryota; Viridiplantae; Streptophyta; Magnoliopsida; Fabales; Fabaceae
Description: Pisum sativum (pea) long non-coding RNA (PSAT_LNC001110)
Source: RNAcentral